This is a long non-coding RNA of Lates calcarifer (barramundi perch), 3318 nucleotides long. RefSeq lists it as uncharacterized. The transcript has 2 exons. Lineage: Eukaryota; Metazoa; Chordata; Actinopteri; Centropomidae. The record is from RefSeq and is a predicted model, not a curated record.
GUGUGUGCGUGCGUGUGUGUGUGAGUGAGGGUGGGGAGGGUGGUGUGGAGGGGUGCCUGGGGGGGGUGCAUGUGGGAAUGCGUGUGCUUGUUUAUCUAUGUAGAAGCACGGAAAGAGAGAAAGGGGGAGGGAGGGUGAGGGAGAGAAAGAGAAAGAGAGAGAUUUGUAAGGUACUUGUAUUUGCAAACUACUGGCUGGGUUCCCACUAGAGGCAGAGAGAUCAGACUGAAAGACUGUGUGUCAGGAGUGUGUAUCUGCAAGUAUGUGUGUGUAGGAGAGACGCAGAGCGAGGAACCCGUUCAAUCCAUUUCAGCAGCAACUUUUCAGCCUAUCUACACGAGAUUUCUCCCCGAAUAUGGAAGCUUUUCGCUCUCUUGUGUUUGAUUUGUUUCAACCAUCUUAAUCACCAUAGACUGACGGUGCCGAAGUUUUGGUCACACUGUGGGCUGAAGAUGAGAGAAGUGCAGGCACAGCGGAGACAGAUGAGAGUUUUGUUAGUAGUUCUGCAGAAGGUGAAGAUGAUGACAGCGAUCAUGGCGUUCACCACGUCUGCAGGGCUAUUUAAGGAAACCCACACCUUUGCAUCAGCGCCUCUCCUCACUCCUACUGGCUUCUCAUCAACGUCAUUUGAACCUCAAUGCCGACAUGGGUGGUAACACGUCUUGGCAUGGAGGUGCUCCACACAGGCCAAGAGAAACAAAAGCAGACUCUCACUCUCUCUCACACACACACACACAAACACACACACAUAGGCGUGUGAUACUCACAGCUUGCAGCUAUAUCUAGCUUGUCUUUCUUGGUGCCAUUAGCAUUGCAAAGUUAGUAUUUUGCACCCCACCACCACCACCCCCCCAAUCUGUUGACAGCUGAGGUGGACAUAUAAGACACUGACAGGUCUGGCAUCAUAGCAUGCUUAGAGAAAACCAAAAUAUAUAUUUAGAUUUGAAUUGCAGACAUUUUAAAUGUAUGUGGUUUGGAUAGGAGCCAGCACACGAGGGACAGGCAAGUGUUUCUGUGAUUUUCCAUGUGUCUGAGUCAAACUGCAGUGACAAAGAGAUGCCGAGGAAGAAUGACAAUAAACUAGGAGGUUUGAGUUUUGUUUCUUAUACGUCACGUGUUGAUUUUCUCUAGCUGCCAUCAAUCAAACAAAUCAGUUGCGAGACACACAGCUCUCCCUGGUGCUCACAGUGAACAUUCAACGCUGUCGGUGAGUUUGAGCUCUAACCGAAACCAUCGACCGUUGACUGUACCCUGAGGGACACCACGGCACACAUUAUUGUCUGGAAACCACACAUCAUGGAACAUUUCAAUUCUGCUCAUAUUCAGGGCAAAAUGCAAAACCAGAGUCUAUGCAUGGACUCUGGAUCAAACCUGUGCACCUUCAGUUAGACAGACUCUGGGACACCUGAUCAGCUGUGACACAGGAGGAAUUCAGUCUUAAGGCUGCAAUAAACAUUCAUUGCUGUCGGUGGGUUUACAUGAGAAUAACUCACUGAUCAAUGAAUGCAGACUGCGGUUCAAACACCUCAAUUACCAGCCAAGGCACCAACAAGACCAACGGAUGUGUACCAAAAGACUUGAUGCAACAUGCUAAUGAAAUUUGCAUGUUGCAUCAAGAAAUUAAGAUUUGCAUGGACACAGCUCUAUUACCACUAGCUGUCCUUCCAACAUUUAAAGGCUAAUUUCACCCAAAAUAUAAAAUAAAAUAAAACAUAUUUUCUCACUCAGCUCCAGUGGUACCUGGACACACAGACGGUUUGGGGUUUUUUUGUCCAGAUUUUGAGAUAUUUGCCUGCCAAUCUAAUGAAGAUGAGCACUCAAAGGAAACUCCAACAACAGUUUUUAUGAGCAUUAUAUCUUCAGCAGAAGGAUAUCCAGAAUAAUAAGAACAUUUGUUACUGGAGAGAGGUGUUUUUUUCAUUUCAUACUGCUGUGAGUGUCAAUCAAAAUUCAGUUAAAUUGCAUUGCAUUAGAAUGGAGGCAGUAAUCUCAGAGACUGAUAAAUGCCUUAAUCAAUUUAUUUACAACACACCUUAUAUAGCUCUUAUAUGACUUCUGACCAUUCCUCAAAGCAUGCCAUAGCGUUUUACGUGUCUUAAUAGGUUUUUUUUUCUUCCAGACAAUGAGCAGUUUCAUCUUAUUACAGUGUGUGAGUCAGGUCAUCAACCAAAGUGUAAACUGGUGGUCCAGCACAGAUUGACUUGAAAUGUCUGCAUUAUAUUGCCACACAGCAAUAACAUAUCUCUGACUGACCCUGAAGACAUGAUGUUCUCUAUGAUGAGUAACAUCAUCAGCCUUGUUUCAAGCCUCCGCAUGUAGAUUUUCAAACUAUGUGAAUUUGAAUGGAAACCAACAGCAGCCUGACAUGUGGGUAAAGGCAGAUUUUAAAAUCACAGCAGUAUGCUUUAAAGAAGUGUCAGCAGUAAUGUAAGAAGCUGAAUGUUGUUGGAAAUGUUCUACUAGUGCUGAUAUAAUACCUUUGUUUUGUUACUUAUGUCAGAAAAAAGAUACAGAAAUAUGUUUUUCAUUCAAUGAAAUCUGUUUCUGUAAAACAGUUUGAAAUACUCAUUAUACACCAGUUUUUGAUACUUGGUGCUACAGGAAAAUUCCACAACAUACAAAAAACAAUGCAAUACUAUUUUCUCACAGUACAAAUAUUGAUAAGAUAUUGGCACAAAAUAAAUAAGGAUCUAAACGUAUUUAUAUCAAUUCAAUAAAGUUAUUGAAAACUUUUAUUAGCAUUUGUUAAACAUUUUGUUUACUAAGGCUUAACUGGUUGACAAUGGAAAAAAGAGCUAUGUAUAUCAAGAUGAUACUCAUAACAUAAAAACAUGAAAAACAUGGUUCCAAAAUAUCUGAUUAACUAUUUUUCAUUGGUAAAAGACAAUCAUAGCUAGGUAUCUCGACGAAUUUCAAACCUUUUCAUUUUCAAUAACUUAAUAGGUAAAAAUACAUUUUUAUACAGAGCAGAAGUACAGUGGGAUAAUCUGCCCACUAAUUUGAAAGUAGAGUGUUUCACAGAACACGUUUAAAGCAGCCUUAAAGAAAUGGUUACAGAGCACCAUGUAGUAUAUUUUUAAUUUAUCAUUUUAAAGGUUUGUAACCAAGAAAAUUGAGUGGUGAAAUAGCUACUCACCAUCUGCUAUUUAUUUAUUUGUCAUUUUAAUUGUAUUUUCUACGAUGUUUUGUUGUUGACCACAGUGGAAAUAAACCCUCAGGCUUUACUAUGUUUUUAUUCCUCAGUGAUUUGAUGUGUGUAAUGAUUGCAGUCCAGUGUUUUAUGUAUUUUUCGAUCAUUAAAUAAAUUCAAUCAAUCAA